RNAcentral lists this ribosomal RNA (441 nucleotides) under uncultured bacterium. Its description in RNAcentral is "partial 16S ribosomal RNA". It matches the Rfam family "Bacterial small subunit ribosomal RNA", at positions 338 to 795 of the family's 1533-position model. The record is from RNAcentral.
CCUACGGGUGGCAGCAGUGGGGAAUAUUGCACAAUGGGGGAAACCCUGAUGCAGCGACGCCGCGUGAGUGAAGAAGUAUUUCGGUAUGUAAAGCUCUAUCAGCAGGGAAGAAGAAAGACGGUACCUGACUAAGAAGCCCCGGCUAACUACGUGCCAGCAGCCGCGGUAAUACGUAGGGGGCAAGCGUUAUCCGGAUUUACUGGGUGUAAAGGGAGCGUAGACGGCUGUGCAAGUCUGAAGUGAAAGCCCAGGGCUCAACCCUGGGACUGCUUUGGAAACUGUGGAGCUAGAGUGCUGGAGAGGUAAGUGGAAUUCCUAGUGUAGCGGUGAAAUGCGUAGAUAUAUGUAAGAACACCAGUGGCGAAGGCGGCUUGCUGGGUCGAUACUGACAUUGAGGCACUAAAGCGUGGGGAGCAAACAGGAUUAGAUACCCUAGUAGUC